Molecule: long non-coding RNA, 3654 nt
Organism: Cephus cinctus (wheat stem sawfly)
Lineage: Eukaryota; Metazoa; Arthropoda; Insecta; Hymenoptera; Cephidae
Exons: 3
Source: RefSeq, a predicted model, not a curated record
UGGUAUCGCCAGUUUUAUUUUAUCGGAGUGCUUCUACGUGCCGAUAAAAGGAGGAUUUCGCGAGCUUACUGGCAGUCCGAGAAGAUAAUACUGGGGAUCUCUUUGCCACGGUAAAUUCACGACCUCGACCUCGUACAUAGAAUCGACCUACUUCGCGAACUACGUAUCCAGACUCACUGUAAUUUACGAUCAGCUGAAAUACACUCACGAAUGGAUACUUCAAUGAUGCUCACGGAUAACUGGCGUGGCUCCUGACGAAUGGGUUUUCUAUACUGCGUACAGAGAGACCGAGAUUGUCGCUUGAUACCAGGGACACCAAACAGUCGCUGAUAUUUUUCGUUUUAUGAUAUUCUGACGAUGGCUACUAGUUGUGGAGAAAACUUAGGAAGGGGGCGCAAAGGGUUGAACGGAGUAUAGGUAGAUGAUGGGUGGCAUGGAAGCACGACGGGUUGUCGCGUAGGGCGGACGUGCGGCCGCCAGGCCAUUUGCUCUGCGGUCUCUUGAUUCCCAGCGACCAAAUUUUCAUCUGUACUCAUUCAAGUUUUAAUGUGUUUUUGCGGCAUCAGUCAUUCAAACUUAAUCAGUAACUGGCUCCGGGGCGCGCGCGGGCUUCUGUAUAUCUAUAUGCGUAUGUAUAUGAGAGAAUUGGUCGAGUAUUCUGUAUGACGGGGACCGUAUUAAUUAUAACUCUGGUCAGAGGAACGUCAAGAGAUGCGUUCACGGAUACCUACAAUAAAUUGUCGGUUUACCGACAAAUCUCAUUUCCAACCCUCGACAUUUUUACCCUCGUUAUUCUUGCAUAUCCAUUGACUGCUUUGUCAAAUCGGUAUUUUACCAAUAAUCGCAUAUCCAUAACGGGCUGUCUAUCGCUAGUCGAAUUAUUAUUAUAUAUAAUGUUCAUUUCUUUUAUUUUUCUUAAAAAACUAAGCGUUCCACGAUUCCCUUUGUACUGCGGCUAAUGCGAAUUCGUAGUUAAGGGUUUGUCUUCCAGGCGGUUUAAACUUUUGGCUAAGUGUCCAACGAAUACCAGGGACAUUCGUUCAUCCGUCGGAAAUUCCUAUAUCGCGAGGUCCCACAGUUCGCGGACUGAAGAGAAAGUGUUAGCGUGACGUUAGAGAAGUGGAAUAAAUCGUGAGUGGAGCAGGAAGCAAAAGAGAAUGAAUGUGCGUGAGAGAGAAAAAGAGAAGAAGGGUGUUAAAGGGCAAACGAAAGCAAGGAAAUAGAAAGCGCAGGAUGUGUAUAUAUUGUAUAUGUAUAUAUAUGCAUAUAUAUGCGUGCAUAUAGAGUGAGUGCAUAUAGUAAAGAGCGAAGAGGAGAGUACCAGUUGGAGCACCAUAGAGAAAUAAGGAUGGAGGAUGAAAUGACGAAGGUAUGGGGAAGCCAAGUGCAAGAGAGAGUGAGCUUGCAAGGGGUGGCUACGAAGGGGUAGGAGAGGACGACGCUUGUGUUUUAUUAAGUGCGUCGUAGGGAAAAAGCGCGAGGCAAUUUUCAGGUGCUAAAGCGAGCACUGAUAACGCGGAACCGCAUUUGAAACAGUCCGUUACAUUUUUCCAGCCAUUAUUUUUCCGCCUAGACGCGACUCUUCCAUUCCCACGUUUUCCACCCUCUAGCUGCUAUUUUCCGUCUCCCGUUUCUACCCUAGGACUCUCGGCCAGAUUGGCUUUCCCCGGAUUUUCCCGGGACUUGUUGCGUUUCGUAUACCUGCGAGCUUUCAGCCCGAUACCUUGUACGCUGAGUUCCCCAGUGUCGAGCUGUCUUAUCAUCUUCCUAUCGUAUUGCUGUAUGUUUAUAAGCAGCGCCGGCGCCUUGAAAUUUUAUAUACGAUAUCGCGUGGCUAGAUAGCGACCGAUUCUUUUUGUUUAGCCAAGGGAUUGAGAGAAAAAGUAUAAAAAUACACGGAGAACGGGGAUUGCGGACAAAGUGAAAAUUAAUAUUCAAUCGCAUUAACGAAUCGUUGGCGACGCCAUCAGCGACAGGGACGUACCUAUACACGGUUUUAUGGUUCCACGGUUUCUAUCGACUGCAACCACCCCCCCGCGCCAAUUCGGAUGCCGUUUCCCAACCCCCUCGCGUACGUUCACAUCGGCGGCGACGUCGAUGGCGAGGGUGUGGAGGGACCAGAAAUGCGCGGCCCGACGCCAAAUGAAAAUACCGAAGGACAAUGGAAAUACUAAUGAUUGAUUGGAUACGAAAAAGAAUUAUAAUUGAAAAAAACAUGGAGGGUUCUGGGUAAAAAAAAAUAAAACGAACUAUUGGGAAUAAUAUAUCAAUACCUAUCGAAGCCACGCAUACAAAUGUGCCGGGGGUUGGUACUCCUGGACGUUUCACGGACGCUGGUUGGGGAUCGUCGGGUAUGUGCUGGCUAUACUGCUAGACUGAGAGGGUUAGGAUGAGGUUUGGUCCAGAGGAUGGAGAGUUUGAGGCCGUUCGGAAAGAGUAAAAAAUAUUACACUCUCACACAAGCGGCAACCGGCCGAUGAAACGGGCACUAACCAAUACCAAUAGAGGGUGGCACAAAAGAAUCGGCCGUUUCGUGUGUGAAAAACAGAGCCUCAUACAGUAACGGGGCUCAUUGCUUCGAUGGCAUUAUAGCUUUUCAUAUACUCGGUGGCCUUUGAAAUGCAGAAUAAAGGGGUAGUUAACGUCCGAGUCCUGGAGGCCGGCGCCUCUGGUAUCCCAGACAUCCCUCUGCCAAGAACACCCCGAGAACUUUCAUUCUCCCACUUGAUUCUCCACGAUCUACCGAUCAUCCCCUAUUCAUUCAUAAUCGACAAUACACCCUGCCAAAAGUAUAGAGACUUACCAGCCAGCCGGUAUAUACCUCAAAAUUUAACUUACAAAGUCUUAAUGUAUCGCACAGUCAUAAGUCAUUUUUUUUUUUGAAAAAGUUCUAAAAAAAAUUAUCCACAAUUUAUACACAGAGAUUUCACUCUGCUGAUUCUCAGAGGUCAGACGAGUUUUCAAAAAAAAAAAAAAAAGGAAAAAAAUUGUGAAAAAUAACCAAACUUUUUUAUCUAUAGUACAAUGCUAAAGCUCACUCAACGCAUUUCCGUGUCUCACCAUACAGUUCUGUACUACCCUGUAUACCUAUGGACCGCAAGUUCGGGACGAGCAGGCACGUUUAGCAUUUGAAAAAAGCCCUCACACGCUCGCGCGCUUCUCCCCACGCCGAAUCCAUGCACCCGCACAAACAAAAGGCUACAUUUAGCAUUAAAAAAGCACGCGGAGCGUAUAUAACGGCCAGUGGCAGUUCCUCUCAUCUCCGGGCUUCCACGAGUGGACAAGCGACCCUUAUUCGCGCAGUCGGUGUGCCAACGGCAAACGCACGGAAAUGGUUAUAGAGCGCGGAGGAGUACGCCGAGAGAGAAAGACUGAUAACAGAGUGCGAGAGUGGGAUCGGGACAGAAGUGGUUGAUGCAUUGGGACAAACACAUUUGGCAUUAAAACAGCUCCGACACUACGUAUCCUACAGCCCGCGACCCUCCACUAACUCGCUAACGUAAUGUUCGUACGUAAACGUAACGUACGUACAUACCUAUACAGCGCGCAGGGCUGCAGCCCUUGUGUAUGUUAGUAUAUAACUACAUAUAUAGUACACCAUCCUCCUACCUUUUUUCAUCCAGAAGCCACCUCCACAGCCUCCCCCUCACCGGU